RNAcentral lists this ribosomal RNA (1394 nucleotides) under Staphylococcus saprophyticus. Its description in RNAcentral is "bacterial SSU rRNA". It matches the Rfam family "Bacterial small subunit ribosomal RNA", at positions 68 to 1443 of the family's 1533-position model. Lineage: Bacteria; Bacillati; Bacillota; Bacilli; Caryophanales; Staphylococcaceae. The record is from RNAcentral.
GAACAGAUAAGGAGCUUGCUCCUUUGACGUUAGCGGCGGACGGGUGAGUAACACGUGGGUAACCUACCUAUAAGACUGGGAUAACUUCGGGAAACCGGAGCUAAUACCGGAUAACAUUUGGAACCGCAUGGUUCUAAAGUGAAAGAUGGUUUUGCUAUCACUUAUAGAUGGACCCGCGCCGUAUUAGCUAGUUGGUAAGGUAACGGCUUACCAAGGCGACGAUACGUAGCCGACCUGAGAGGGUGAUCGGCCACACUGGAACUGAGACACGGUCCAGACUCCUACGGGAGGCAGCAGUAGGGAAUCUUCCGCAAUGGGCGAAAGCCUGACGGAGCAACGCCGCGUGAGUGAUGAAGGGUUUCGGCUCGUAAAACUCUGUUAUUAGGGAAGAACAAACGUGUAAGUAACUGUGCACGUCUUGACGGUACCUAAUCAGAAAGCCACGGCUAACUACGUGCCAGCAGCCGCGGUAAUACGUAGGUGGCAAGCGUUAUCCGGAAUUAUUGGGCGUAAAGCGCGCGUAGGCGGUUUCUUAAGUCUGAUGUGAAAGCCCACGGCUCAACCGUGGAGGGUCAUUGGAAACUGGGAAACUUGAGUGCAGAAGAGGAAAGUGGAAUUCCAUGUGUAGCGGUGAAAUGCGCAGAGAUAUGGAGGAACACCAGUGGCGAAGGCGACUUUCUGGUCUGUAACUGACGCUGAUGUGCGAAAGCGUGGGGAUCAAACAGGAUUAGAUACCCUGGUAGUCCACGCCGUAAACGAUGAGUGCUAAGUGUUAGGGGGUUUCCGCCCCUUAGUGCUGCAGCUAACGCAUUAAGCACUCCGCCUGGGGAGUACGACCGCAAGGUUGAAACUCAAAGGAAUUGACGGGGACCCGCACAAGCGGUGGAGCAUGUGGUUUAAUUCGAAGCAACGCGAAGAACCUUACCAAAUCUUGACAUCCUUUGAAAACUCUAGAGAUAGAGCCUUCCCCUUCGGGGGACAAAGUGACAGGUGGUGCAUGGUUGUCGUCAGCUCGUGUCGUGAGAUGUUGGGUUAAGUCCCGCAACGAGCGCAACCCUUAAGCUUAGUUGCCAUCAUUAAGUUGGGCACUCUAGGUUGACUGCCGGUGACAAACCGGAGGAAGGUGGGGAUGACGUCAAAUCAUCAUGCCCCUUAUGAUUUGGGCUACACACGUGCUACAAUGGACAAUACAAAGGGCAGCUAAACCGCGAGGUCAUGCAAAUCCCAUAAAGUUGUUCUCAGUUCGGAUUGUAGUCUGCAACUCGACUACAUGAAGCUGGAAUCGCUAGUAAUCGUAGAUCAGCAUGCUACGGUGAAUACGUUCCCGGGUCUUGUACACACCGCCCGUCACACCACGAGAGUUUGUAACACCCGAAGCCGGUGGAGUAACCAUU